CGGAGGGAAGCAAAGACUUAAGUUAGAGGCCCUCUGCAGCGGUCACCGAGCCACCAGGCGUGUCCUGACUUGGGUGAUAAAAACACAGGCAAACGAACCUGUAGCUGCCUGGCGCUGCAGUGGCCCUGCCCACCCGGCCGUGUAAUUGCCAGAUGAAUAAACCCGUGCCUGGAGUCAAAGCAGCUUGCCUGGAUUACCCUGCUGGGAAGUGGUGAGGAUAGAACAAAAACCCAAACAGUUUGGGUCUGCAGGCCUUCUUCUUACUGAAGCACUGAUUAUUUUUUUUCUGGAAAAUAAAAAUACAGGGGAUUUGAAAUGUGGUCUUUGUGCUUUCCAUAUUGUCUAAAAUUUAUACUCUACACUCACUAUUUUAUAAUCAGGAAUUGUUCCCGAAGAGUUCAAGUUUUGAGAAGCCUUUAAUAGGUCAGUCCAGCCCAGCAAUCCUCCACCACCAUGAAAAUCCCAUUGACGUCUAUGCAAGAUGCUCCCCGCACCUGUGACUUGCCUACUGCACACUCUGUUUUCAGCUAACGAACGAUGCUUCCUCAUUUGCCCCCCGAAUGUUCCUGCUAGUCGUUGUGUUCUCAUUAUUCUGUUCUCUCAAACGUCCCCCUGGUACUUUCUGUAGGAGACGUGCUUGGUUCUCAGUCGUAUCCACGUCGUCCGUUUUCUCAGCCCUCUGCCACCCUGCGCGUCCAGACCCCACGGGGGUCAUGCUGCACGCCUCACUGUCACCGCUGAAACGUGGGCGGAAGUCAGACAGAAGCAGCUCCCUGAGCAGAGGUCAGGUGCGAGGUGCUGGUGCGGGCGGGCUGCUCUGCACUGGCUUUUCGUGCUCCAGGGAAAUGAACUUCAGCAGACAACUUCCAAGGCGACGGCGAUGUUGGGUCUCCAGAUGGAGGGAGCUUGCUCGUUACUGAACGCAAUAGUAGAAUCUCUCUGUUGACCAGUGAUCAAUCAUUUUAAUCAGGAAUGAACACUUUACGUGUCAAGCCCAAGAUCAUGUGGUUAUUAUUUUUUAAUUAAAAAUUUUUUGUUGUUGUUGAAGUAUAGUUGAUUUGCAGUGUUAUGUUAGUUUCAGGUGUACAGCAUAGUGAGUCAGUUUAUAUAUAUAUAUGGAAUUAUAUAUUCUCUCUAUAUGUACAUUCUGUAUAUAUAUAUAUAUAAAUAUAUAAUCUUUUCCAGUUUAUUUUCCCUUACAGAUUAUUAUAAAAUAUUGACUAUAGUUCCCUGUGUUAUACAGUAGGUCCUUGUUGGUUAUCUGUUUUAUAUGUUGUAAUGUGUAUUUUUUUUUUUUUUGAGGGCCGCACCUGUGGCAUAUGGAGUUUCCCAGGCUAGGGGUUGAAUCGGAGCUGUGGCCACCACAGCCACAGCAGCACUAGAUCCGAGCCGUGUCCUCGACCUACACCACAGCUCCCGGCCACGCUGGAUCCUUAACCCACUGGGCGAGACCAGGGAUCAAACCCGAAACCUCAUGGUUCCUUGUUGGAUUCGUUUCCGCUGCGCCACGACGGGAACUCCAUGUACAGUAAUGUGUAUACGUUAAUCACAGACUCCUAAUUUAUCCCUCCCCCUUCCUCUUUGAUAACUAUGUUUCUUUUUGAAGUCUGUGGGUCUGUUUCUGUUUUGUAUAUAAGCUUAUUUGAAUCUUAAAAAAUUUUUUUUUACAUUCCACAUAUAAGUGAUAUCAUAUGAUAUUUGUCUUUCUGUCUCACUUCACUCAAUGUGAUAACCUCUAGGUCCAUCCAUGUUGCUGCAAAUGGCAUUAUUUCGUUCUUUUUCAUGGCUAAAUAAUAUUCCAUUGCAUGCAUGUACCACAUCUUCUCUGUCCAUUCAUCUAUUGAUGGACAUUUAGGUUGCUUCCACCUCUUGGCUAUUUUAAAUAGUGCUGCAAUGAACAUAGGAGUGCAUGUAUCUUUUCAAAUUAUAAUUUUCUCUGGCUAUAUAUAGGAGUGGGAUGGCUGGAUCAUACGGUAGUUCUACAUUGAGUUUUCGGAGGAACCGCCAUACUGUUUUCCACAGUGGCUGUACCAGUUUACAUUCCUACCAGCAGUGUAGGAGGGUUCCUUUUUCUCCACACUCUCUCCAGCAUUUAUUAUUUGUAGACCUUUUUUUUUUGCUUUUUGGGGCUGUACCUGGGGCAUAUGGAAGUUCCCAGGCUAGGGUUGAAUUGGAGCUGCAGCUGUCAGCCUAUGCCACAGUCAUGGCAAUGCCAGAUCCGAGCCGUGUCUUCGAACUACACCACAGCUCCUGGCAACGCUGGAUCCUUAACCACUGAUUGAGGCCAGGGAUCGAACCUGCAACCUCAUGGUUCCUAGCUGGAUUUGUUUCUGCUGAGCCAUGACAGGAACUCCUAUAGCCCAACUUUUUUUUGGUUUAAAUUUAAUUUUAUUAGAGUAUACUUGAUUUACGAUGCUGUAGCAACUUUUGAAAAGACUUUUUCAACCCAUCAAGUUGCUAGGGCACCUUUGUUGGAAAUCAAUGACUGUAGAAAUGUGGUUCUAUUUCUGGAAUUUCUGUUCCACUGAUCUCCUUGCCUUUCAUUUGGCUAAUUCCACAUUGUCUUGAUUGCUCUAUCUUUAUAAUAUUGAUUGCUAUAUCUUUAUAAUAAUUCUUGAAGUCAGAGAGAGUUUACAAUAUUGCUCUUCUCUUUUAAGAAUGUUCUGUGAUUCCAGGUCCUUUGCAUUGCCCUAUAAAUUUUUAUUUUUUAUUUUUUGCUUUUUAGGGCCGCACGUGCAGCAUAUGGAAGUUCUCAGGCUAGGGGUCGAAUCGGAGCUGUAGCUGCGGACCUACUCCACAACCACAGUGAUUCAGGAUCCAAGGCGCUUCCGAAACCUAUACCACAGCUCACAGCAACGUUGGCUCCUAAACCCACCAGGUGAGGCCAGGGAUUGAACCUGCACCUCCAUGGUUCCUAGUCAGGUUUUUUAACUGCUGAGCCAUGAAGGGAACUCACUGCCCUAUGAAUUUUGGAAUCAUUUUGUCAGUUUCUAGAAGAAAAGCACAUUGGGAUUAUGUUUGGGAUGUUGUUGAAUGUAUUGAUCAAAUUGUGGGGAAUAGACUUCCUAAAUAUAUUGAGUUUCCAUUAUGGGAACAUGGAUCUCUCUCCACUUAUUUAGAGCUUUCAAAAUUUCUCUCAGCAUUCAAAAAAUAGUUUUAACGAAAGGACUUGCACACUUUUUGUUAAAUUUAUUUUUAAGCAUUUCAUGUUGACGCUUACCUGGUCAGUCUUAGCCUGUCUGUAGUGAUGCUAUCAGCCACAAAUGCCGGGGCCCUCGCUGUCGAUGGAGCCUUCCCAGACGUUUCCCCCCCAGAGCCAAGGCUGUGGUUGGACCAGCCCCGUGGUUUUCAUUGUGACUGCAAGACGCGCUUCAGCAUCCACCACCUGGGAGCUUUGAGAAGAUAAGUUUUGUAGCUGACGUGCCCUGGAAGGUAUGUGUCUUGCCAGGGCUCACUGUGGGUGGGAUGGGGGAGGAGGGAGAGAGGCUUCUCUCUCUGGGCUUCUGCCUUUAUUGGGGUCGAGGAUAGGGCCUAGGGUUUUCAGGCUUACUGUUCAUUGGUGAAUUUAAAGCAUAAGAGUAGGACUUCAGGGGCAGGAGGGGAAAAGCAAGCCAUCCAAGGGUCAAGUGUAUUUCCUGAAAAAGGGAAAUUCAUGAGUAGGUGGCCUGGUUCUUCCUCUAGCUGUGGGGCUGCCGAUGUGCUGACCUGAGAUGGAUUCUUUGGAGUAUUUGCCUCAGCAAUGAAAAGCUUGAUGUUGGGCACUUUCAUUAUAUUCAAAAAGCUAAUUAUUGGGUGUUUACAAUGCUAUUAUACAUUUUUUUUUUAGGGCC
RNAcentral lists this long non-coding RNA (3830 nucleotides) under Sus scrofa (pig). Its description in RNAcentral is "lncRNA (ENSSSCG00060062263.1)". The record is from RNAcentral. Lineage: Eukaryota; Metazoa; Chordata; Mammalia; Artiodactyla; Suidae.